This 416-nucleotide ribosomal RNA is filed under the name uncultured bacterium. RNAcentral's name for it is "bacterial SSU rRNA". It matches the Rfam family "Bacterial small subunit ribosomal RNA", at positions 356 to 764 of the family's 1533-position model. The record is from RNAcentral.
GGGGAAUUUUGGACAAUGGGGGCAACCCUGAUCCAGCCAUCCCGCGUGUGCGAUGAAGGCCUUCGGGUUGUAAAGCACUUUUGGCAGGGAAGAAACAGCCUGGGCUAAUAUCCCGGGCGACUGACGGUACCUGCAGAAUAAGCACCGGCUAACUACGUGCCAGCAGCCGCGGUAAUACGUAGGGUGCAAGCGUUAAUCGGAAUUACUGGGCGUAAAGCGUGCGCAGGCGGUUCGGAAAGAAAGGUGUGAAAUCCCAGGGCUUAACCUUGGAACUGCACUUUUAACUACCGGGCUAGAGUACGUCAGAGGGGGGUAGAAUUCCACGUGUAGCAGUGAAAUGCGUAGAGAUGUGGAGGAAUACCGAUGGCGAAGGCAGCCCCCUGGUAUGAUACUGACGCUCAUGCGCGAAAGCGUGG